RNAcentral lists this small nuclear RNA (148 nucleotides) under Pogona vitticeps (central bearded dragon). RNAcentral describes it as "U1 spliceosomal RNA (ENSPVIG00000018727.1)". It matches the Rfam family "U1 spliceosomal RNA". Rfam says of the family: U1 is a small nuclear RNA (snRNA) component of the spliceosome (involved in pre-mRNA splicing). Its 5' end forms complementary base pairs with the 5' splice junction, thus defining the 5' donor site of an intron. Lineage: Eukaryota; Metazoa; Chordata; Lepidosauria; Squamata; Agamidae. The record is from Rfam by way of RNAcentral.
ACUCAUACCUUGCAGGGGAAAUACCAUGGUCAUGAAAGUGGCUCAUCCACUGCACUUCAGGUGUGCUGAUCCCUGUGAUUUCCCCAAAUGUGGGGAACUCAACUGCAUAAUUUGUGGUAAUGGGGGUUUGCAUUUGUGCUUUCCCUGG